Molecule: ribosomal RNA, 484 nt
Filed under: uncultured bacterium
Lineage: Bacteria
Description: partial 16S ribosomal RNA
Rfam family: Bacterial small subunit ribosomal RNA
Source: RNAcentral
AGUGAACGCUGGCGGCGUGCUUAACACAUGCAAGUCGAACGAGAACGGGUUAUAGCUUGCUAUAGUUGUCAGCUAAGUGGCGCACGGGUGAGUAAUGUAUAGGUAAUAUGCCUCUUACUAAGGGAUAACAAAUGGAAACGUUUGCUAAUACCUUAUACUCCUUAUUAACAUAAGUUAAUAAGGGAAAGAUUUAUUGGUAAGAGAUUAGCCUGUAUUGGAUCAGUUAGUUGGUGGGGUAAUGGCUUACCAAGACUAUGACACAUAACUGGUUUGAGAGGAUGAUCAGUCACACUGGAACUGAGACACGGUCCAGACUCCUACGGGAGGCAGCAGUGGGGAAUAUUGCACAAUGGACGAAAGUCUGAUGCAGCAACGCCGCGUGGAGGAUGACACAUUUCGGUGCGUAAACUCCUUUUAUAUGAGAAGAUAAUGACGGUAUUAUAUGAAUAAGCACCGGCUAACUCCGUGCCAGCCGCCGCAGUAA